AACGGAGAGGGGGAAAAAAGGAGAAAAAGGAGGAAGCGGAAAUAGAGAAGAGGGAGAACGAAGGGGAGAAGAGAGCCGAGGAUGGAGAGGGAGGAGAAGAGGUCGCCGCUGUCCAGCUCGCACCACCAUCGUCACACACUACUACUGCCUCGUCGCCACCGCCGCACCUUGUUGUCGUAAUCAGAGUCACCACCGACGUCUGUUGAAAGCAUUCGCGUUGCCGCCAGAACCCUUGCCGUCGUCGUUGCCAUUGGACGAAGGAGAGAGGAAAAGAUGCGAUGUACAUAGCAGCUCACUGCCGUGCUUCAUCUCGGCCGCUGCCAUGGAUGCCGGUGAGUUGCACGGUGUCAUCGGGGUUUGAUGAGGAAGAUUCGUAGAUUGGGUUUUCCAAAAUCAAGGUUUGGAAUUUGGUGAAGAUUGGUUCAGUGGUUGGAUUCUUGGAGUUGCUGUUCUGCCACCGCCGUUGCUGUAGCCGUGCCUCUAUUGUCGGAAAACGACGCCGUUGUCGCCGGAGAACCACCGUUGAAGCCGCUACUGCUCUGGUGAGCCUUACCCUCGUUUUGUACGCUUAAGUUAUUUCGUUGCUGUUGUGAGAGAGUGUUUAUGUUGAAUGAAGUUGUUAUUGUGAGUUAUUCAGCUGGCGCCUCCACUAGAGGUAGCUACUGGAGCUGCCGCCGGAACCCUUGUCUUCUUGGUUGGUCAUUUAGAUGGUAUGCAGCAGUUGUGUAAGGUCUUUGGUUGUUCAAGUUGAAACCUUUGCCAAAUGAGUGAGAAUAAACUACACUAGGAGGAGUUUGCAAGCUGUCCCUAGUAUUUUUUAUUCGCCUACUCGUCAAUUCAAGACAUUCCCAGUGAUGAUGGUGGGUACGGGUUCCGUGUCAAGAAGUGCUGGUUCCCUUGUAGAUAUGAUGCGAGAGAAAGAUGAUGAUGGCCGGUUUGCAAGUGGAGAGUGGAAUAGUGAGGAUGGAAGGCUUAGCUGUGGGUAUUAAGAUGGAGGACUUUUACGAUAUUAAAACAUUGAAAAUUGGUGGUAAUUCAAUAUGCUUACUUGGAAUAUUUGAUGGUCAUGGUGGUUCUCCUGUUGCAGAGUAUUUGAAAAAGCAUCUCUUUGAUAAUCUCAUGAAGCAUCCAUUUUUUUUACUGAUGCCAAAUUGGCUAUAAGUGAAACGUACCAAGGACUAUAAUAUCAAAGGCUGGUAAGGCAAUUGCUCUCUGUGAGGAUCAUAAGCCAAACAGAAGUGAUGAACGAAAGAGGAAUUGAUGCGUUUAAACUAAAUUGAGAGUAUUUGAAAAAGCAUCUCUUUGAUAAUCUCAUGAAGCAUCCAUUUUUUACUGAUGUCAA
Molecule: long non-coding RNA, 1342 nt
Organism: Arachis stenosperma
Lineage: Eukaryota; Viridiplantae; Streptophyta; Magnoliopsida; Fabales; Fabaceae
Exons: 3
Source: RefSeq, a predicted model, not a curated record